RNAcentral lists this small nuclear RNA (61 nucleotides) under Capra hircus (goat). The record is from RNAcentral. Lineage: Eukaryota; Metazoa; Chordata; Mammalia; Artiodactyla; Bovidae.
GUGCUCGCUUCGGCAGCACAUAUACUAAAAUUGGAACAAUACAGAGAUUAGCAUGGCCCCU